Molecule: ribosomal RNA, 376 nt
Filed under: uncultured organism
Description: partial 16S ribosomal RNA
Rfam family: Bacterial small subunit ribosomal RNA
Source: RNAcentral
GUAGGGGCCAAACGUUUGUCCGGAUUUAUUGGGCGUAAAGGGCUCGUAGGCGGUUCAACAAGUCGGUCGUGAAAACCCGGGGCUCAACCCCGGGACGCCGGUCGAAACUGUUGUGACUAGGGUCCGGUAGAGGUGAGUGGAAUUCUCGGUGUAGCGGUGGAAUGCGUAGAUAUCGAGAGGAACACCAGUUGCGAAGGCGGCUCACUGGGCCGGUACCGACGCUAAGGAGCGAAAGCAUGGGGAGCAAACAGGAUUAGAUACCCUGGUAGUCCAUGCCGUAAACUGUGAACACUAGGUGUGGCGGAUCUAUUGAUGUCUGCCCGUACCGUAGCUAACGCGUUAAGUGUUCCGCCUGGGGAGUACGGCCGCAAGGCUA